This is a long non-coding RNA of Mytilus trossulus (common blue mussel), 331 nucleotides long. RefSeq lists it as uncharacterized. NCBI's taxonomy places the organism in Eukaryota, Metazoa, Mollusca, Bivalvia, Mytilida, Mytilidae. The record is from RefSeq and is a predicted model, not a curated record. The transcript has 3 exons.
AUUGUUUACCUAAUCCGUGUAAACAUGGAAACUGUAGAAACAGCCAUACUGGAUUCACGUGCAAAUGUUAUUCAGGAUACACUGGUACAGCAUGUCAAACGGACUGUAGUCGGCAUACUUGCGGUAGAAAUGGCGUUUGUAAAAACAGUCUAACUGGUUUCACGUGUGCAUGUUAUACAGGGUACACAGGUUCAAGAUGUCAGACAGACUGUCAACCAGACCCUUGUCAUGGCCAUGGCGUCUGCAAAAACAGUCUGACUGGUUAUACAUGUACAUGUAACACAGGCUAUAUAGGAUCAGGAUGUCAGAAGGGUUAGGACAAUUUUAAUGC